Molecule: microRNA, 19 nt
Filed under: Bos taurus (domestic cattle)
Lineage: Eukaryota; Metazoa; Chordata; Mammalia; Artiodactyla; Bovidae
Description: bta-miR-296-5p
Gene: bta-miR-296-5p
Source: miRBase by way of RNAcentral
GAGGGCCCCCCCCAAUCCU